AGUGAACGCUGGCGGUAGGCCUAACACAUGCAAGUCGAACGGCAGCACAGUAAGAGCUUGCUCUUACGGGUGGCGAGUGGCGGACGGGUGAGGAAUACAUCGGAAUCUACUUUUUCGUGGGGGAUAACGUAGGGAGACUUACGCUAAUACCGCAUACGACCUACGGGUGAAAGCAGGGGAUCUUCGGACCUUGCGCGAUUGAAUGAGCCGAUGUCGGAUUAGCUAGUUGGCGGGGUAAAGGCCCACCAAGGCGACGAUCCGUAGCUGGUCUGAGAGGAUGAUCAGCCACACUGGAACUGAGACACGGUCCAGACUCCUACGGGAGGCAGCAGUGGGGAAUAUUGGACAAUGGGCGCAAGCCUGGUCCAGCCAUACCGCGUGGGUGAAGAAGGCCUUCGGGUUGUAAAGCCCUUUUGUUGGGAAAGAAAAGCAGCAGGUUAAUACCCCGCUGUUCUGACGGUACCCAAAGAAUAAGCACCGGCUAACUUCGUG
Molecule: ribosomal RNA, 492 nt
Filed under: uncultured bacterium
Lineage: Bacteria
Description: partial 16S ribosomal RNA
Rfam family: Bacterial small subunit ribosomal RNA
Source: RNAcentral